AACCACUGUUCUAUGCUACUGAAAUGUCAUCAACCACUAUUACUAUCAUAAAGCUCCCAAAAUCCUUUUAGAUGCUACUCCUAAGUAAAUGUCUGGAAUUUAGUUUGGGAUUGUUUUGCAGUUAGUGAUCCGUUCGGCUUUGUGUUUUGCUUACAGAUGCUAUACAAAAAUAAAACCAAUAAAACACCUAUGCUGCUUUAGUAGCAGCAAAAUACAAGGUUGUGUAUCAGUGUUUAAGAUGUUCGCUAGAUUCACAUUUAUUACAUUUGUGUUCUGUUUUAUGUCAAGGUUGUGACAGCAGUUGUGAAGGAUUCAGAAGACAGUUAUUCGAAUCUUAUCCCACACUGAGUGAGGGUGGUGGAUUUUAACUAAUGAAGAUUUCAGGAUCUAUGAGAAGCCAGAUCUUGGCUGUUAUUCCUUGCCCUAAUGAGGGGUACUCAGCAAAAUAUUUAAGGGACCCAGAAACCCAAAUUUGGCUCUGUCAUUAUCUAUGUAAGGCCGCUACAAAGAGGUCUUAAUAUGGAUCAGUAGGUUCCUGGGCUGUCCUUAUCCACUGGGCCCCUGAUGAAGUGCCUCUUUUGUGAGAAAGACUUUUCCUUCUCAGAAAUAAAGUCACAGUGACGGCUGUAGCAGCAGAAUGUGAAAUCAUGGCAAAUUUGUUCAGGGAGGCUGUAUUGAAGCAGCAUGGAACUGCUAAACCACUCCAUCUAAGAAUGGAUUUGCGAGACAGCAUGGAGAAUAGAGAGAGGGACAUUUUGUCAUUUUAUAAAAUGUCCAAAGUAGAAUGGGCCUGUCCUUUAAAAUGCACACUUGAAGGUAUUUGAAUGGAAUUUUACUCACUCUCUUUAUUUUUAAGAUUUUAAUCAUGGUUUCAUAUUUUAAUGUUCUGAGUUUUCCAUCGGCGAUGCAGCUGUGGGUGAAGGAGUGAACAGGUUCUUUUUCUCCACAAUUAUAUCAAAGCUUCAGUUUGGUUUUCAUCGUAACUUGCUUUCUAUAAAACAGGGUUUUUAAAUGAUGUUAUUUAGAAAUGUCAGUUUAUAUUAAUUUGCUCAAGAAUAUUACAGAUCACAAUGUAUUUGUAAUAUUCGUCACGUGCUUGUGGAAAAAAUCUAUAUGCUUUAUCGGUCAUAUUUUUACUUUUUAUACAUCACCAAUCUAACAGAAUAAGGAUAGACUGUAUAGUGGAGGCAUCCCAUGCGCAAUGGUUUUAGUUAAUUAACUGGCCAAGGACAUCACUGUUCAGGUUAUUUAUUCUAAGAGUACUACAGAAAUCAUUGUUUGUUUCCAUUAUUGUUUAGUCUUGCAUCUACACACUGUGCUUUAAUGUUUACAAUUGUGGAAAUAACGCCUAGACAGUAUGAACUUAGUGAGCAGUGCAUGUUUUGUCAUCGUCAGAGUUCAAUUUUUUGCAGAAAAUAAAAUGUGAUUUGAUUCUUAUUUAUGUUUGAUU
Long non-coding RNA from Acipenser ruthenus (sterlet), 1450 nucleotides. RefSeq lists it as uncharacterized. The record is from RefSeq and is a predicted model, not a curated record. The transcript is spliced from 3 exons. Lineage: Eukaryota; Metazoa; Chordata; Actinopteri; Acipenseriformes; Acipenseridae.